This is a long non-coding RNA of Mirounga angustirostris (Northern elephant seal), 1712 nucleotides long. RefSeq lists it as uncharacterized. The transcript has 2 exons. The record is from RefSeq and is a predicted model, not a curated record. Lineage: Eukaryota; Metazoa; Chordata; Mammalia; Carnivora; Phocidae.
AGAGAGUUGGAGUGGAGGUGAGAUUUGUGAUCGGGAAAGCCCUUGACUCCCUCCUUCUCCGCCUUCCGCCUCUCUCUGAUUAGUUCCUAUCCAGCAGCAGAUUGAAGCAGGAGAUGAUUCUUCUCAAGGAUGAAGAGCAAGUGAAAGGCAAGCCACAGAAGAAUAACUUGACUAUAUAUGUAUAUUUUGUACAUACAUUUGUGGAUAAAUGUAUCUUAAAAGAUGCUAUUGUUUUAUGUUUCCUCUUCAGCCACUGGCUGUGAUUUUAAUUGUGCUGGAGGAUCUUCAUUAGUAUUAACACAUGGGGAGAUUUCACAAAGCUGCUUCAUUAGGGGGGGAAAAAAAGCUUGGCAGACUAGGUCUUUUUGCAUGCACUGAGAAUGUCAGCCUUACCUCGGUCAUUUGUAACAUAAUAAGUGCAAGUACAAUGAUUGCAAUGCAGGAGCACUGGGGGAAGGGCAGAAAUACUGCCUGCCUAAUAGGGAUAUCUGAAAAAAAGGCUGCUCAUUACACAGUAAAAUGUAUGCUAAAAAUUAGUGAAGAUGAUGUCUCAGGAGACUGAUGCUAAAUAAAUUAAUGUGCUGAUAUGUUUUUAAUUAUUAUUUUUGUAGUAGUUUAUUUCGUUCUCAGGAUUCACAUUGAGCAGCAAAGCUGCGCUAGCACUUAUUGAUUUUUUUUCCUUGCCACAUUCCCGGAAUACAGAUUUUAAUCAUUUCACUACACCACACUCAGUAAUUUCAUUAAAAACUGGAACCUUCCAUCCCCAGAAAAGCAUUUAAUUUCAAUGACAUACAAUUUCUCUCCUAGCAGAAAACUGUCUUUACAGUAAAAGCUGGCCUAAGGUUCAAAUGCAUAAUUUAAUCCUGAGUUUUCCAUGCUCUGCAUUCCUUUGAAGCUAUAAUUUGAGUAACUACCUAAUAACUGUAAUAAGGACAAUAAUUUCCUUAUAAUAUAUUAUUAACUCAUAUUUAAUUAACUCAGAGGCCAAGCUCUGUACAUGUAUGACUGGGUCAAGAGUUCUGCAAUCUCAAAAUUCACCAAUAAUGUUCCAGAAGAAAAAUAUAGAUUAAAAUAUAAGUGUGAAUGCUAGCAUUUAGAUAUUCCAGCCAAAAUAAUUAACAAAAAAAGUUCAUGAGUUUUAAAUAAUAGCGGUCAUUACUCAAACAGUAUUUUAAAACAUUUGGAAAUAAACAAGGCAACUCACUGAUAUUUCUAUAGAUAAAGAAUUAUUAAUAUUUCAACAAUCCAUUUCUGACAAUUUAAUCACUAGCAUUACUUUUAAGAAAGCAUUCAAUUUUGAAAAGAUUUUUUUAAAAAGGGCUAGAUUCAAGUUGCCUCAAUUUUUAUACGGAAUUCUCUCUUGAAAUAAAGUUAAAUGCACACUUGAGUAAUUUGGAAAACUAAGGAUACUUAAAUACUUCAAAUACAGCAAAAUAAGUUUCAAUUUUAGGUUCCAGUAAUACUUUGAAAUGAUAUUGAGUUGAAGAUGGUACUUUGUUUAUUCGAACACUAGGUUUCAUAAAGAUAUGUAAUUUAUAUUGCCUGUUUUUAGAGAAGAAACCUGUGGGAAAAACAUUUGACAUAAUAAAAUUCACUUAUUAAAUUUUGAAUAUAUACCUAAUCAACAGAAAACACUGGGUACAUUGGUAAUAAAAGUGUUUAACUUAUAUAAAAACUUAUAUAAAAAUAAAAACUCAUAUUAAAAAUUCCUA